RNAcentral lists this ribosomal RNA (253 nucleotides) under uncultured bacterium. Its description in RNAcentral is "partial 16S ribosomal RNA". It matches the Rfam family "Bacterial small subunit ribosomal RNA", at positions 524 to 777 of the family's 1533-position model. The record is from RNAcentral.
UACGUAGGGUGCGAGCGUUAAUCGGAAUUACUGGGCGUAAAGCGUGCGUAGGUGGUUUUUAAGUCCGUUGUGAAAGCCCUGGGCUCAACCUGGGAAUGGCAGUGGAUACUGGAAAGCUAGAGUGCGGUAGAGGGUAGUGGAAUUCCCGGUGUAGCGGUGAAAUGCGCAGAUAUCGGGAGGAACACCGGUGGCGAAGGCGGUUCUCUGGGCCUUACCUGACGCUGAGGAGCGAAAGCGUGGGGAGCGAACAGGG